GAUGAACGCUGGCGGCGUGCUUAACACAUGCAAGUCGAACGGGAAUUAUUUUAUUGAAACUUCGGUCGAUUUAAUUUAAUUCUAGUGGCGGACGGGUGAGUAACGCGUGGGUAACCUGCCUUAUACAGGGGGAUAACAGUCAGAAAUGGCUGCUAAUACCGCAUAAGCGCACAGAGCUACAUGGCUCAGUGUGAAAAACUCCGGUGGUAUAAGAUGGACCCGCGUUGGAAUAGCUGGUUGGUGGGGUAACGGCCCACCAAGGCGACGAUCCAUGGCCGGCCUGAGAGGGUGAACGGCCACAUUGGGACUGAGACACGGCCCAGACUCCUACGGGAGGCAGCAGUGGGGAAUAUUGCACAAUGGGGGAAACCCUGAUGCAGCGACGCCGCGUGAAGGAAGAAGUAUCUCGGUAUGUAAACUUCUAUCAGCAGGGAAGAUAGUGACGGUACCUGACGAAGAAGCCCCGGCUAACUACGUG
This 478-nucleotide ribosomal RNA is filed under the name uncultured bacterium. RNAcentral's name for it is "partial 16S ribosomal RNA". It matches the Rfam family "Bacterial small subunit ribosomal RNA", at positions 28 to 507 of the family's 1533-position model. The record is from RNAcentral.